GGGGAGCAUCCAGAUGCCGGGAUGUUGCCUGAUACAAUCUUCCUACAUAAAAAACUGUCGUUUCCUGCUUGUAGUACUUGAGCAAGUCCUGCAAGUCUCAUAUAUACAGUGACAAGU
Non-coding RNA from Lupinus angustifolius (narrow-leaved blue lupine), 117 nucleotides. Lineage: Eukaryota; Viridiplantae; Streptophyta; Magnoliopsida; Fabales; Fabaceae. The record is from Rfam.